UUCAUCUUCUACACUAAAGCAUCCUGAAACU
RNAcentral lists this non-coding RNA (31 nucleotides) under Rattus norvegicus (Norway rat). The record is from RNAcentral. Lineage: Eukaryota; Metazoa; Chordata; Mammalia; Rodentia; Muridae.